Molecule: ribosomal RNA, 231 nt
Filed under: uncultured bacterium
Lineage: Bacteria
Description: partial 16S ribosomal RNA
Rfam family: Bacterial small subunit ribosomal RNA
Source: RNAcentral
UGAGGUAACGGCCCACCAAGGCGACGAUCAGUAGCCGACCUGAGAGGGUGACCGGCCACAUUGGGACUGAGACACGGCCCAAACUCCUACGGGAGGCAGCAGUGGGGAUAUUGCACAAUGGGGAAACCCUGAUGCAGCGACGCCGCGUGAGUGAAGAAGUAUUUCGGUAUGUAAAGCUCUAUCAGCAGGGAAGAAACUGACGGUACCUGACUAAGAAGCCCGGCUAACUAC